GCUUAACACAUGCAAGUCGAGGGGCAGCAUGGUCUUAGCUUGCUAAGGCCGAUGGCGACCGGCGCACGGGUGAGUAACACGUAUCCAACCUGCCGUCUACUCUUGGACAGCCUUCUGAAAGGAAGAUUAAUACAAGAUGGCAUCAUGAGUCCACAUGUUCACAUGAUUAAAGGUAUUCCGGUAGACGAUGGGGAUGCGUUCCAUUAGAUAGUAGGCGGGGUAACGGCCCACCUAGUCUUCGAUGGAUAGGGGUUCUGAGAGGAAGGUCCCCCACAUUGGAACUGAGACACGGUCCAAACUCCUACGGGAGGCAGCAGUGAGGAAUAUUGGUCAAUGGGCGAGAGCCUGAACCAGCCAAGUAGCGUGAAGGAUGACUGCCCUAUGGGUUGUAAACUUCUUUUAUAAAGGAAUAAAGUCGGGUAUGCAUACCCGUUUGCAUGUACUUUAUGAAUAAGGAUCGGCUAACUCCGUGCCAGCAGCCGCGGUAAUACGGAGGAUCCGAGCGUUAUCCGGAUUUAUUGGGUUUAAAGGGAGCGUAGAUGGAUGUUUAAGUCAGUUGUGAAAGUUUGCGGCUCAACCGUAAAAUUGCAGUUGAUACUGGAUAUCUUGAGUGCAGUUGAGGCAGGCGGAAUUCGUGGUGUAGCGGUGAAAUGCUUAGAUAUCACGAAGAACUCCGAUUGCGAAGGCAGCCUGCUAAGCUGCAACUGACAUUGAGGCUCGAAAGUGUGGGUAUCAAACAGGAUUAGAUACCCUGGUAGUCCACACGGUAAACGAUGAAUACUCGCUGUUUGCGAUAUACUGCAAGCGGCCAAGCGAAAGCGUUAAGUAUUCCACCUGGGGAGUACGCCGGCAACGGUGAAACUCAAAGGAAUUGACGGGGGCCCGCACAAGCGGAGGAACAUGUGGUUUAAUUCGAUGAUACGCGAGGAACCUUACCCGGGCUUAAAUUGCAGAUGAAUUACGGUGAAAGCCGUAAGCCGCAAGGCAUCUGUGAAGGUGCUGCAUGGUUGUCGUCAGCUCGUGCCGUGAGGUGUCGGCUUAAGUGCCAUAACGAGCGCAACCCUUGUUGUCAGUUACUAACAGGUUCUGCUGAGGACUCUGACAAGACUGCCAUCGUAAGAUGUGAGGAAGGUGGGGAUGACGUCAAAUCAGCACGGCCCUUACGUCCGGGGCUACACACGUGUUACAGUGGGGGGUACAGAGGGCCGCUACCACGCGAGUGGAUGCCAAUCCAAAAAACCUCUCUCAGUUCGGACUGGAGUCUGCAACCCGACUCCACGAAGCUGGAUUCGCUAGUAAUCGCGCAUCAGCCACGGCGCGGUGAAUACGUUCCCGGGCCUUGUACACACCGCCCGUCAAGCCAUGGGAGCCGGGGGUACCUGAAGUGCGUAACCACGAGGAGCGCCCUAGGGUAAAACUGGUGACUGGGGCUAAG
Molecule: ribosomal RNA, 1435 nt
Filed under: uncultured organism
Description: 16S ribosomal RNA
Rfam family: Bacterial small subunit ribosomal RNA
Source: RNAcentral